RNAcentral lists this transfer RNA (87 nucleotides) under Deltaproteobacteria bacterium. Its description in RNAcentral is "tRNA-Ser". It matches the Rfam family "tRNA". Rfam says of the family: Transfer RNA (tRNA) molecules are approximately 80 nucleotides in length. Their secondary structure includes four short double-helical elements and three loops (D, anti-codon, and T loops). Lineage: Bacteria; Pseudomonadati; Myxococcota; Myxococcia. The record is from RNAcentral.
GGAGAGAUGGCCGAGUGGUUUAAGGCGCACGCCUGGAACGCGUGUGUAUCUUAACGGGUACCGUGGGUUCGAAUCCCACUCUCUCCG